This 179-nucleotide unclassified non-coding RNA is filed under the name uncultured Sordariomycetes. Its description in RNAcentral is "sequence contains ITS1". Lineage: Eukaryota; Fungi; Ascomycota; Sordariomycetes. The record is from RNAcentral.
CCGAGUGCGUCCGUUAAUUCGGACUCCUCCCACCCUUGUGUAUUUUCGCUGAAAAGCAGCUUCGGCGGGCCGUCUAGCUCUGAGAAAUCGGAAGUGUUGACGUCGGCCUAGUGCGGAUUCGCGCCCGCCGAAGAACCAACUCUUGACAACUUGAAGUCUGAUAACAAACAAACAAGUCA